RNAcentral lists this ribosomal RNA (585 nucleotides) under uncultured bacterium. Its description in RNAcentral is "partial 16S ribosomal RNA". It matches the Rfam family "Bacterial small subunit ribosomal RNA", at positions 355 to 1375 of the family's 1533-position model. The record is from RNAcentral.
UGGGGAAUUUUGGACAAUGGGCGAAAGCCUGAUCCAGCAAUGCCGCGUGUGUGAAGAAGGCCUUCGGGUUGUAAAGCACUUUUGUCCGGAAAGAAAUCCUUGGCUCUAAUACAGUCGGGGGAUGACGGUACCGGAAGAAUAAGCACCGGCUAACUACGUGCCAGCAGCCGCGGUAAUACGUAGGGUGCAAGCGUUAAUCGGAAUUACUGGGCGUAAAGCGUGCGCAGGCGGUUUGCUAAGACCGAUGUGAAAUCCCCGGGCUCAACCUGGGAACUGCAUUGGUGACUGGCAGGCUAGAGUAUGGCAGAGGGGGGUAGAAUUCCAUGUGUAGCAGUGAAAUGCGUAGAGAUGUGGAGGAAUACCGAUGGCGAAGGCAGCCCCCUGGGCCAAUACUGACGCUCAUGCACGAAAGCGUGGGGAGCAAACAGGAUUAGAUACCCUGGUAGUCCACGCCCUAAACGAUGUCAACUAGUUGUUGGGGAUUCAUUUCCUUAGUAACGUAGCUAACGCGUGAAGUUGACCGCCUGGGGAGUACGGUCGCAAGAUUAAAACUCAAAGGAAUUGACGGGGUCAUAGCUGUUUCCU